CGGGGUGUGGCGCAGCCAGGUAGCGCACCUGGUUUGGGACCAGGGAGUCGGAGGUUCAAAUCCUCUCACCCCGA
RNAcentral lists this transfer RNA (74 nucleotides) under Candidatus Latescibacterota bacterium. Its description in RNAcentral is "tRNA-Pro". It matches the Rfam family "tRNA". From Rfam's summary of the family: Transfer RNA (tRNA) molecules are approximately 80 nucleotides in length. Their secondary structure includes four short double-helical elements and three loops (D, anti-codon, and T loops). Further hydrogen bonds mediate the characteristic L-shaped molecular structure. tRNAs have two regions of fundamental functional importance: the anti-codon, which is responsible for specific mRNA codon recognition, and the 3' end, to which the tRNAs corresponding amino acid is attached (by aminoacyl-tRNA synthetases). tRNAs cope with the degeneracy of the genetic code in two manners: having more than one tRNA (with a specific anti-codon) for a particular amino acid; and 'wobble' base-pairing, i.e. permitting non-standard base-pairing at the 3rd anti-codon position. Lineage: Bacteria; Pseudomonadati; Candidatus Latescibacterota. RNAcentral also lists the same sequence under 1 other name. The record is from RNAcentral.